This 253-nucleotide ribosomal RNA is filed under the name uncultured bacterium. Its description in RNAcentral is "partial 16S ribosomal RNA". It matches the Rfam family "Bacterial small subunit ribosomal RNA", at positions 524 to 776 of the family's 1533-position model. The record is from RNAcentral.
UACGUAGGUGGCAAGCGUUGUCCGGAUUUACUGGGCGUAAAGCGCACGUAGACGGCUUUGUAAGUUAGAGGUGAAAGCCCAGGGCUCAACCCUGGAAUUGCCUUUAAGACUGCAUCGCUUGAACAUCGGAGAGGUAAGUGGAAUUCCGAGUGUAGAGGUGAAAUUCGUAGAUAUUCGGAAGAACACCAGUGGCGAAGGCGACUUACUGGACGAUUGUUGACGCUGAGGUGCGAAAGCGUGGGGAGCAAACAGG